RNAcentral lists this unclassified non-coding RNA (149 nucleotides) under uncultured Fusidium. Its description in RNAcentral is "sequence contains ITS1". The record is from RNAcentral. Lineage: Eukaryota; Fungi; Ascomycota; Sordariomycetes; Hypocreales; Nectriaceae.
UAGAGUUGUAAAACUCCCAAACCCAUGUGAACAUACCUCUGUUGCCUCGGUGGCCUACCCGGUAGCUACCCUGUAGUCGCCCCGUAGUCUGCCGACGGACCACUAAACUCUGUUUUUUUAAUAUCUCUGAGUCAACUAUAAAUAAGUUA